RNAcentral lists this ribosomal RNA (434 nucleotides) under uncultured bacterium. RNAcentral describes it as "bacterial SSU rRNA". It matches the Rfam family "Bacterial small subunit ribosomal RNA", at positions 354 to 796 of the family's 1533-position model. The record is from RNAcentral.
GUGGGGAAUAUUGCACAAUGGGCGAAAGCCUGAUGCAGCGACGCCGCGUGAGGGAUGAAGGCCUUCGGGUUGUAAACCUCUUUCGUCAGGGAAGAAGCCUUUCGGGGUGACGGUACCUGGAGAAGAAGCACCGGCUAACUACGUGCCAGCAGCCGCGGUAAUACGUAGGGUGCGAGCGUUGUCCGGAAUUAUUGGGCGUAAAGAGCUUGUAGGCGGUUUGUCGCGUCUGCCGUGAAAAUCCAAGGCUUAACUUUGGACGUGCGGUGGGUACGGGCAGGCUAGAGUGUGGUAGGGGAGACUGGAAUUCCUGGUGUAGCGGUGAAAUGCGCAGAUAUCAGGAGGAACACCGAUGGCGAAGGCAGGUCUCUGGGCCAUAACUGACGCUGAGAAGCGAAAGCAUGGGGAGCGAACAGGAUUAGAAACCCCGGUAGUCC